GUCGACAAUACUUCAGAGAAUCAUUUCUAUAGUAUUCGACCUUCUCUUGGUUCCCUAAAAGAGCCACAGAUCCCACCCUGGUUGAUGAAUGAAUAUCCUCGAUGCCCUAGAGUGAAUACCCUUUUUGGUCCUCUCGCCCUGUCCGCAAGGACGGCGGUAACUACCUAGCGUGGUUGCUGUAUAGAGAGAUGCUACUCUUGAUGAUCUCGGUCCUGAGUGCGGUCUUGCCUUUGGGCGCGCGCUUGGGACGGGCAUUGAUGGACGUCUGACAGGU
Molecule: small nucleolar RNA, 274 nt
Filed under: Fusarium culmorum
Lineage: Eukaryota; Fungi; Ascomycota; Sordariomycetes; Hypocreales; Nectriaceae
Also listed under: 1 other name
Description: Fungal small nucleolar RNA U3
Rfam family: Fungal small nucleolar RNA U3
About the family: Small nucleolar RNAs (snoRNAs) are involved in the processing and modification of rRNA in the nucleolus. There are two main classes of snoRNAs: the box C/D class, and the box H/ACA class. U3 snoRNA is a member of the box C/D class.
Source: Rfam by way of RNAcentral